GAUGAACGCUAGCGGCAGGCUUAACACAUGCAAGUCGAGGGGUAUUGGUUUUCGGACCAAGAGACCGGCGCACGGGUGCGUAACGCGUAUGCAAUCUACCUUUUGCAGAGGGAUAGCCCCAGAGAAAUUUGGAUUAAUACCUCAUAGUAUAGUACUUUGGCAUCAAGGAACUAUUAAAGUCACAACGGCAAAAGAUGAGCAUGCGUCCCAUUAGCUAGUUGGUAAGGUAACGGCUUACCAAGGCUACGAUGGGUAGGGGUUCUGAGAGGGAGAUCCCCCCACACUGGUACUGAGACACGGUCCAGACUCCUACGGGAGGCAGCAGUGAGGAAUAUUGGACAAUGGGCGCAAGCCUGAUCCAGCCAUGCCGCGUGCAGGAAGAAGGUCCUAUGGAUUGUAAACUGCUUUUAUACAAGAAGAACACUCCCUGUGAGGGAACUUGACGGUACUGUAUGAAUAAGGACCGGCUAACUCCGNGCCAGCAGCCGCGGUAAU
This 495-nucleotide ribosomal RNA is filed under the name uncultured bacterium. RNAcentral's name for it is "bacterial SSU rRNA". It matches the Rfam family "Bacterial small subunit ribosomal RNA", at positions 28 to 524 of the family's 1533-position model. The record is from RNAcentral.